AGACCCGAAACCCGGUGAUCUAGCCAUGGGCAGGUUGAAGGUUGGGUAACACUAACUGGAGGACCGAACCGACUAAUGUUGAAAAAUUAGCGGAUGACCUGUGGCUGGGGGUGAAAGGCCAAUCAAACCGGGAGAUAGCUGGUUCUCCCCGAAAGCUAUUUAGGUAGCGCCUCGUGAAUUCAUCUCCGGGGGUAGAGCACUGUUUCGGCUAGGGGGCCAUCCCGGCUUACCAACCCGAUGCAAACUGCGAAUACCGGAGAAUGUUAUCACGGGAGACACACGGCGGGUGCUAACGUCCGUCGUGAAGAGGGAAACAACCCAGACCGCCAGCUAAGGUCCCAAAGUCAUGGUUAAGUGGGAAACGAUGUGGGAAGGCCCAGACAGCCAGGAUGUUGGCUUAGAAGCAGCCAUCAUUUAAAGAAAGCGUAAUAGCUCACUGGUCGAGUCGGCCUGCGCGGAAGAUGUAACGGGGCUAAACCAUGCACCGAAGCUGCGGCAGCGACACUCAGGUGUUGUUGGGUAGGGGAGCGUUCUGUAAGCCUGCGAAGGUGUGUCGUGAGGCAUGCUGGAGGUAUCAGAAGUGCGAAUGCUGACAUAAGUAACGAUAAAGCGGGUGAAAAGCCCGCUCGCCGGAAGACCAAGGGUUCCUGUCCAACGUUAAUCGGGGCAGGGUGAGUCGACCCCUAAGGCGAGGCCGAAAGGCGUAGUCGAUGGGAAACGGGUUAAUAUUCCCGUACUUGGUGUUACUGCGAAGGGGGGACGGAGAAGGCU
This 771-nucleotide ribosomal RNA is filed under the name Salmonella enterica subsp. enterica. Its description in RNAcentral is "partial 23S ribosomal RNA". It matches the Rfam family "Bacterial large subunit ribosomal RNA", at positions 711 to 1483 of the family's 2925-position model. Lineage: Bacteria; Pseudomonadati; Pseudomonadota; Gammaproteobacteria; Enterobacterales; Enterobacteriaceae. The record is from RNAcentral. RNAcentral also lists the same sequence under 1 other name.